This 670-nucleotide long non-coding RNA is filed under the name Sus scrofa (pig). RNAcentral describes it as "lncRNA (ENSSSCG00060074995.1)". The record is from RNAcentral. Lineage: Eukaryota; Metazoa; Chordata; Mammalia; Artiodactyla; Suidae.
GGUAAGGAGCCAAAGUGUCUUCAGGAAGGACACCAGGCAAUGAAAUAGAAGGUAGCAACUGGGUGGAGCAGGAAGUGGUUCUACCUUUGUGUCAGUUUCACCUUUCAGGAAGUGUUCUGGACAGAAGGAUCCUGAAUCACAGUCAGCAGGUCAGCUAGAGAGCCAUGUGACACCAAGAACACUGCUGCAAGCAAUCCCAGUGAAACUCCCAGAGUCCAGCCUCCUGCCUCCAGGCCAGUCCAACUAAAACACAAUCUUGGCUCGAAAGAAAACGGCAUGUUACCAUCCAACUUUGCCACUUGAAAUGAAACUAGAAAAACAUCCUGAGAACAGAGAAGCCAUUCUUCACUGGGCUACAGCGGAAGGAGUACCCUGCUCAUCCCUCCCUGGCUUCAGGAGCACACAGGCAUCCAGCCGUUGCUCCAUCCCCCGGCAGCUGAUGCCCAGACAUGCGGCCACUGCGGCCGAGCCCAGGGGUCCCAGGGCUUCGGCCAGAAGAUCAAACACGCCCAGCUCACAGGCAGUGAAGAGAACCAGUUACGGUGAGUUGGGGGUUAGUGGUGGAUGGGCUGUUCCUUCCUGCAGGUUCUCACUGCAGGGCGUGGGGGUGGGGAUUCUAAGGGUCAGGGAGACCCUGAGCUGGGCGGGAGCAGGCCAUGGCACUAAUUAG